Long non-coding RNA from Bubalus bubalis (water buffalo), 4908 nucleotides. RefSeq lists it as uncharacterized. The record is from RefSeq and is a predicted model, not a curated record. The transcript is spliced from 3 exons. NCBI's taxonomy places the organism in Eukaryota, Metazoa, Chordata, Mammalia, Artiodactyla, Bovidae.
UAUUCCUCCUGGUAAUCUUGACUCCAGCCUGUGAUUCAUCCAGCCUGGUAUUUCACAUUCUGCAUAGAAGGUAAAUAAGCAGGGUGACAAUAUACAGCUUUGUCAUACUCUUUUCCCAACUUGGAAAAGAACCAGUCAGUUCUUCCAUGUCUGGUUCUUACUGUCACUUCUUGACCUGCAUAGAGGUUUCUCAGGAGACAGGUAAGGCGGUCUGGUACUCCCAGCUCUUGAGGAAUCUUCCACAGUUUGUCCUGAUUCACACAGUCGAAGGCUUGAGCAUAGUCAAUGAAGCAGAAGUAGAUGUUUUUCUGAAACUCCCUUGCUUUCUCCAUGAUCCAACAAAUGUAGGCAAUUUGAGGCUUAUGUCUAAGCCUCAAAUCCCCAUCCCUGUGCUAAGCUUGAGGCUGGCACACAAUGGGCCCUGGGGAAAUGCUUGCUGAACUGGAUGAGAUUUAGGUCAGUUCAGGAGAGACCCUCAGUGCCAGGCUAAAGAGUUUAGACUCAACACUCAAAGGCAAUGGGAGCCAUUGAAGGUGUCUGAGCAUGAGGAGGUUCUAAUCUAUAGAUUGUUUUAGAAAAAUUACCUGAGCAGCAUCAGUGAGGGAGAGGAUGUUUUAGAGAGAGGGAAACUUCACAUGGGGCAGGGUUGGGGGAGAUGGUUAUAGAGAGGACCAUUAAGAAGCUUUUGUAGAAAGUAGUAAUGACCUGAAUUAGGGUUGUGGAGCAGGGAACAGAAAAGAGAAAAACAACUUGGGCCACAUUUCUCUUUUCAAAAGAUGAACUCUGAUCUCAUUUUUAUAAAACCAUGUAUUAUUUGUGUGUCCUAUAAUAUAUGCAAAGGGUCUUAUAAAUCACUAGGCUUGACACUAGCCAACUGAAGAGGCUUCUGGGGAAAUGGCAUUGUGUGUGUGUAUUUUCAUGAAUUAUUUUUCAUCCUUACAAAAAGCCCUAUGAGGUAGGAUGUUAUUAGUGCCACUUUACGGAUGGAGAAACUGAAGCUCAGAGAGAGUCUGAAUCACUUGCUCAAGGUCACACAACCAGUACUUUUCCCACUCCAGUAGACCUUCCCCAGUGACACACUGAAGGAAUAAUCAAGGCACCUCCAUCAUUAAUUGAAUGGGGGAUGGGAGGAGGGGACCAAGAGGAAGGGGUUAAAAAUGACUAGGAUGCUUUGAGACUGAUCAAGUGAAAAAUAAUCAAGUCAGGAGAGACUGCUGGGUUACUGUGGGAAGAUUUGGGCCAAAGAAAUGAAUAUCUAACGAUGGAAUCUGAUGCAUCAGAUCAGAGCUUAGAGGGAAGUCUGUUAAGUACACUCCUUGCUCGCUGGCCCUGCCACUGAGCACCUGAAGCCCCUUAGCAACUGGACAUUUUACAGAGAAAAAUAUUUUAGCCCCACAGUGUUCUUCUGAGUGCUUGGGUCCUUCUGCAUCAGCAGCUUGUACUUUCUGUGGCUCCAUGUGGCCUGAUUGACCAGUUUUAAAAGGCCUGCUGAUGAAUUUGAGAUCUCAGGCUUCCAUCUUCUUUGGUCAGCAAAGACGAAAAGGCCUUGGCAUGAACACGAGGCUAUUAUUCACUGAGAAGACAUUAUAAACCUCAAGAACGCAAGCCCAUCAGGCAGGAAAGGCCACCCAGCUUACUAGGCACGCUGUGUCCUCAUGGGUCCGUCCAGCGUGAUUCAUUACUAAAUCUGCAGCAGGCAGGAGGCAAAAGAGGAUUUCAUGUAAACUGUUUGGGAGAAGCACUUUGAAUGCAACUUAAAGUUAUUAGAGCUCCAGAGCUUGAAAUGCUUGUUAAAUUUCAAGUUGAGGUUAUUCCUCCCUUAUCCUUCACCAGGACCAUCCCUGGGGAGGAAGAAAAAAAGGUAGAAAAGUUGUGUGGUGAUUUGGUGUAUUAGUCAGGGUUCUCUAGAGAAACAGAACCAAUAGGGUGGAUAUAGGCAUAUAGAAUGAGACUUACUGUGAGGGUUUGGCUCAUAUAAUUACGGAGACUGAGAAGUCAGCUCAGGAAAGCUGGAGAUGUAGUACCAAUCCAAACUCAGAGGCCUGGCGGCGGAGGAGGGGUAGCGGUAGAAGUCUUAGUCCAAGGCCAAAGGCCAAGAACCAGGAGUGCAGGUGUUCCUGGGCAGGAGAAGAUGGAUGUCCCAGCUCAAGCAGAAAGCAAAUUCACUUUUUUCCUGCCUUUUUGUUCUAUUUAGGCCUUCAGUGGAUUUGAUAAUGUCCAGUAUUGAUGAAGCAGUCUUUUUCACUCAUUCUGGUAUAAAUACUAAUCUAUUCCUGAAACACUUAGAUGUAAUGUUUUGCCAGCUAUCUGGGCAUCCCUUAGCCCAGGCAUGUUGACACAAAAUUAACCUACACUGAGGGGUAGGUUUGGAAAUCUGUGACACUGAAGAUGCAAUAUGUUCAGGCCCUAAUGUAUGUUUUCAGUUAAAUAUAUCUUGGGGUGGGGGGAGCCAGUUUGUGGGCAUAGGAUCUAAAGAAUUCACAAAAGGAAAUUAAAAUUGUAUGUAACUAUAUUACAGGCUCACCAUGUUGCACAGCAGCAGAGGGCAGUACUCCCAAUGAAUUCUAUUCACAGAGGUGCACAUUGUAGUGGUCUGUAAGAGGAUACUCAACUUCUCCCAAAGGAAGAGAGUACUCAAGUCAUGUCCGGCUCUUUGAGAUCCCAUGGGCUGUAGCCCACCGGGCUCCUCUGGUCUGUGGGAUUAUCCAGGCAAGAAUACUGGAGUGGGUUGCCAUUUCCUCCUCCAGGGAAUCUUCCCGACCCAGGGAUCAAACCAGCUGUCUCCUGUGUUGGCUGGCAGAUUCUUUACCAGUAAGCCACCUGGGAAGAAGUGCUGAUUGAAACAAUAAGGUGAUGUUUUUCAUUUACUGAAUUGGCAAAGCUCAAAGUAUUGCUAAGAUCCUGUGUUGCUGGGAGUGAAAUUUGGUAACGCCUCUGUAGAGGGUGAAGUGAAUACUAUGGAUUGGCUCUCUCCACCUGGGUCAUUCACCCUCUUCUAGUUGUUGAUGUAGGAAAGCUAAGUCCUACACUUCCCAGACUUCCCUGCCUAUAGGGUUCCACCUGCAAUGAAUGAGAAUUCCUGUUGCUCCUUGUCAGCAGUUAGUGUUACAGCAUUCUGGAUUUUGGCCAUUUUAAUAGGGAUCCCGUGAGGCUGCUCCUCCUCUUCUCAGUCAUGUCGGUUCUGAGAGGCUCUCAACCCACUGCCUGAGCUGCCGUGUUGUCUUAUGACCCCACCGUAACCACUCAGGCCAGGACUGACUGAACCGGGAGUGAAGAACAGAUCCAGGGGGACACCAACUCUCGGACUGCGUUGAGCCCAUCUCAUUCCCUGUCCUGGGAAUGUAGGACCUGGUGAUGAAGUCAAUCAGACAGCAACAUAACAUGCGUGAAAGGAAAGGCUAUGGAGUGUGGGAGCUCCGGAGGCUGUGGCAGCCACCGUGGAAAAGAAUCCAGACUCACCUCACUAAAAAUGAGAGCCCAUGUGGAAAGCUGAGUGAGGCAGCCCAUCCAGCAGCUGGCUCUGGAUCCAGCCAUGUGGGGGAGGCCGUCUUGGACCAUCUAGCCCCAGAUGGGCUAUCAGAUAACCACUUGACUCAACCCAGGCUAGAUCAGCUGAAGAACAGCCAGACUGCCAACCCAGUAGUCAAGAGAAAUCAUAAAUCAUUGUUAACCUAAUACAUUUGGGCGAUUUAUUUUUGUUCCAAUAGGUAACUGAAACACCAGUCUUCCCAAUAUACCUUCUUCUCACAGCCUUCAUCUCUCUAGAUAUUACCUCUAUUCUUCCAGUUGCUUAGGCCAAAAAAUGUGGAGUUCCUUGACUCCUCCCUUUUUCUCACACUCACAUCUGCUCUUUCAGCAAAUUAUGUAUUAUCAUCUCCAAAAUAUAUCCUGACUCCUAUCCUUACCAACUCCAUUGCUAUCACAGUGGGCCGAACUGCAUCAUCUCUUUCCUGGAUUACUGCUGGGGCCUCCAUGUUGGUCUCUCUGCUGCCCUCCUGGCUCCACUGUGUUCUCCAGUCGGCAGUGAGCGAUCCUUUUAGAGUUUAAGUCAUAUCCCAUCAUUCUUCUGCUCAGAAGCCUCCAGGGACUUCACAUUUUGGUCAGAGUAAAAGUUAAAAUCCUUACUAAGGCUUCAAGACCCCACAUGAUUUGGCCCUCUUCUCUUGCCCGUAUCUGUAAUCGCACUCUGCAUCUCUACCCCUGGUUCACCCGUUUUCAGCCACUGUGGUCUCUUUGCUGUCCCUUAAACACACCAAGUGCCUUCCUAUCUCCAGGCCUUUGCACUUGCUCCCCUCUGUGUAAAAUGGUCUCCCCCAGAGACUUAAUGGACUCACUUCUUAUGUCUGCUCAGAUGUUCCUUUAUUGCCCACUCCUCCAUCUCCACCCAACCCUGAGCUCCAUCAGUUUCUAACGCUCUCACCCUCCUCCACAGCAUUUAACACGACCUAACAUACUACAUUUUUGUUUGUUUUGUAUCUACUUUCUCCCAUUAGAACAUAAACUCCAUGAGGACAGGGACAUCAUCUGGUUAUUCAUUCCAGAGUCUCCUGUGCCUAUUACCUAUCACAUAGAAGGUGUUUGAUAACAGUUUUGCUGAAUGAAUGAAAGCAGAAGUGUAUUGUCUUACUUUUCUAUUGCUGUUGUAACAAAUGACUACAAACCUGGUGACUUAGAACAAAUGUAUUAUCUUACAGUUCAGAAGAUCUGAAGUCCCAAAACGUGUCACUGGGCUAAAAUCAAAGUGUUGACAGGGCUGCCUUUUUACCAGGGAAGCUGUCCGGGAGAACGUAUCCCCUUACUUUGUCCAGCAUCUGGAGGCUGCCCACAUUCUCUGAGGAUGACAUCCUUCCAUCCUCAAAGCAAGCGAUGAUUGAGCCUUCCUCACGGGGCAUCACAGGGCUUCUAUCG